AGGGUAAUAGCUCAGUGGCAGAGCACGUGCAUAGCAUGCACAAGAUCCUGGGUUCAAUCCCCGGUACCUCCA
Molecule: transfer RNA, 72 nt
Filed under: Camelus bactrianus (Bactrian camel)
Lineage: Eukaryota; Metazoa; Chordata; Mammalia; Artiodactyla; Camelidae
Also listed under: 3 other names
Rfam family: tRNA
About the family: Transfer RNA (tRNA) molecules are approximately 80 nucleotides in length. Their secondary structure includes four short double-helical elements and three loops (D, anti-codon, and T loops).
Source: Rfam by way of RNAcentral